AGGCAACGCGGGUAGAAGUUUCAAUGGACUAUGUCAGUUCUGGGUCGCUCGAAGAUCCAUCCUUCAUCUCACUGUUGCUUGAUUUUGGAGCCAUGUCGUUUAUCGAACAAACCCUAACUUUCUCUUCAAGCCAGUUUGGUAUUUUCUAAGAAGACGACACAACUUUUAUGUCCGCAUAAUUAAGAAAGAUUAAAGUAUACAUGGUUGCUUGUAGUAUAAUUGAAAUUGCAGUUGCAAUUGAUCAAAACAAAGACCCUAUGUCAAGCAACUUUUGGCCUUUUGGAAAUGGUUUGAUUUAAUCCUCUCUUUUUUUCGUCGUGA
Molecule: long non-coding RNA, 321 nt
Organism: Arabidopsis thaliana (thale cress)
Lineage: Eukaryota; Viridiplantae; Streptophyta; Magnoliopsida; Brassicales; Brassicaceae
Product: other RNA
Exons: 1
Source: RefSeq